RNAcentral lists this ribosomal RNA (253 nucleotides) under uncultured bacterium. RNAcentral describes it as "partial 16S ribosomal RNA". It matches the Rfam family "Bacterial small subunit ribosomal RNA", at positions 524 to 776 of the family's 1533-position model. The record is from RNAcentral.
UACGAAGGGGGCUAGCGUUGUUCGGAAUUACUGGGCGUAAAGGGCGCGUAGGCGGUGUGUCAAGUCAGGCGUGAAAGCCCCGGGCUCAACCUGGGAACCGCGCUUGAGACUGGCACGCUCGAGUUCGGGAGAGGAUGGUGGAAUUCCCAGUGUAGAGGUGAAAUUCGUAGAUAUCUGGAGGAAUACCGGUGGCGAAGGCGGCAUCCUGGACCGACAUUGACGCUGAACGGCGAAAGCUAGGGGAGCAAACGGG